Long non-coding RNA from Empidonax traillii (willow flycatcher), 828 nucleotides. RefSeq lists it as uncharacterized. The record is from RefSeq and is a predicted model, not a curated record. The transcript is spliced from 4 exons. Lineage: Eukaryota; Metazoa; Chordata; Aves; Passeriformes; Tyrannidae.
GCCGCCCGGGGGAGGCGGCGCGGGGCGGGAGCGGCGCUAGAGCCGGAGCCGCGCCCGGGCAGGGGCGCGCAGCCAGGAGGGAGGGAAAGGCAGCUGCAGGGAUGAGGUGCCAGCUGUGCCCUGGCAGGGCUCGCUGUGUCAGGCUCCACACCUGCUCCUCUCCACGGACUUGUGGCUGGUUUCGUCAAACCCAGGGUACCGCUCCCAUCAGGUGGAGCAGGAUGCAGUGCAGGACAGAGAUGAAGUUUCGUCCGUGUCUGUGGAUAAACUGCCAUGAAUGUGGGUGACAACUAAGCAGGGAUUAUCUUGGGAGAGUGAAAAGAAAAGGUCCAGCUGCAUCCAACCUCAGGUGUGACCAAAGGUGGCCCCUGGGCCGAGGCUUCAGGAAGGUUUGGGCUGGAAUCUUUUUUUCGUGGAACAGGUGAAGAUCUUUGGAAAAGAACUUUUUUAUCAUGGAAACAAACUGUUUAUAAGUAUGUACUCAAACAAGGAGAGUGCAGAGAUGCUUUUCCCUUUGUUUUCUCAGAAGAGAACAACGUUCUGAUUAGUUAAAGUUGCAUAAAAUGCUCCCCUACGAACUGCUGGAGUGAAUUUAUUCCAAGUUCAAAGUCAAAAUUAAGUCUUUAAAGUUGUUGGUUGUCCCCCUGCCCUUUUCAUGUGCACAUUGCUGGGGAGUCUGGGAGCUAAAACUAAAUGUGUUUGCAGGAUAAAUAUCUGAGCAUCCUAUCAAACUGUAAAUAAAUUUUGAGUAACACUUUUGCAGAGUACAGCUUUUCUUAAACAACAAAAAAACCUCUGGUCACUGGGCUGAUCAUACCUUCAGGAUAU